GCCGGAUUAGCUCAGUGGUAGAGCGGCUCACUCGUAAUGAGCAGGUCGUGGGUUCGACUCCCACUUCCGGCU
This 72-nucleotide transfer RNA is filed under the name Spirochaetes bacterium RBG_16_67_19. RNAcentral describes it as "tRNA-Thr". It matches the Rfam family "tRNA". From Rfam's summary of the family: Transfer RNA (tRNA) molecules are approximately 80 nucleotides in length. Their secondary structure includes four short double-helical elements and three loops (D, anti-codon, and T loops). The record is from RNAcentral. Lineage: Bacteria; Pseudomonadati; Spirochaetota.